CCUACGGGAGGCUGCAGUCGAGGAUCUUUAGCAAUGGGCGAAAGCCUGACUAUGCGACGCCGCGUGAGGGAUGAAGGUCUUCGGAUCGUAAACCUCUUUCGAUGGGAAAGAAGCCCCGAAUUUUCGGGGUUGACGGUACCCAGAGAAGAAGCCACGGCCAACUCCGUGCCAGCAGCCGCGGUAAUACGGAGGUGGCAAGCGUUACUCGGAUUCAUUGGGUGUAAAGGGCAGGUAGGCGGUCAUGUAAGUUGGAGGUGAAAUCCUUUGGCUCAACCAAAGAACUGCCUUCAAAACUACAUGACUUGAGAAUGGGAGAGGAAAACGGAAUUCCCGGUGUAGGGGUAAAAUCUGUAGAUAUCGGGAGGAACACCAGUGGCGAAGGCGGUUUUCUGGCCCAUUUCUGACGCUGAGCUGCGAAAGCUAGGGGAGCAAACAGGAUUAGAUACCCCUGUAGU
Molecule: ribosomal RNA, 455 nt
Filed under: uncultured bacterium
Lineage: Bacteria
Description: partial 16S ribosomal RNA
Rfam family: Bacterial small subunit ribosomal RNA
Source: RNAcentral